UUUUGGUGUUUUUUGCUCGUGUCGUGAGAUGUUGGGUUAAGUCCCGCAACGAGCGCAACCCUUUUCCUUAUUUGCCAGCGGGUUAAGCCGGGAACUUUAAGGAUACUGCCAGUGACAAACUGGAGGAAGGCGGGGACGACGUCAAGUCAUCAUGGCCCUUACGACCAGGGCUACACACGUGCUACAAUGGUCGGUACAAAGGGUUGCUACCUAGCGAUAGGAUGCUAAUCUCAAAAAGCCGAUCGUAGUCCGGAUUGGAGUCUGCAACUCGACUCCAUGAAGUCGGAAUCGCUAGUAAUCGCGGAUCAGAAUGCCGCGGUGAAUACGUUCCCGGGCCUUGUACACACCGCCCGUCACACCAUGGGAAUUUGUUGCACCAGAAGUAGGUAGUCUAACCGCAAGGAGGACGCUUACUCUUCCCUUUC
Molecule: ribosomal RNA, 425 nt
Filed under: bacterium 28S221
Lineage: Bacteria
Description: bacterial SSU rRNA
Rfam family: Bacterial small subunit ribosomal RNA
Source: RNAcentral